This 496-nucleotide ribosomal RNA is filed under the name uncultured bacterium. Its description in RNAcentral is "partial 16S ribosomal RNA". It matches the Rfam family "Bacterial small subunit ribosomal RNA", at positions 28 to 506 of the family's 1533-position model. The record is from RNAcentral.
GAUGAACGCUGGCGGCGUGCCUAAUACAUGCAAGUCGAGCGAACGGGCGAGAAGCUUGUUUCUCUGAGGUUAGCGGCGGACGGGUGAGUAACACGUGGAUAACCUACCUAUAAGACGGGGAUAACUUCGGGAAACCGGAGCUAAUACCGGAUAAUAUUUUGAACCGCAUGGUUCAAGAGUGAAAGACGGUCUUGCUGUAACCUAUAGAUGGAUCCGCGCUGUAUGAGCUAGUGGUUAAGGUAACGGCUUACAAAGGAAAGGAUGGAUAGCCGACCGGAGAGGGAGCUGCCACACAGGGAAAGUGAGACGGCGCAAAGACCCACACGGGAGGCAGGUGUAGGGAAUUCUGCGAAAGGGGCGAAAGCGUGACGGAGCAACGGCGCGAGAGUGAAGAGGUUCUGCGGAUCGUAAAACUCUGUUAUGAGGGAAGAACAGGUGUGUAAGUAACUGUGCACAACUUACCGGUACCUAAUAAGAAAGCAACGCUAAACUCCGU